CCACGCGGACGACCGCGCGCGCAAUCGACUCACCGGGGACGACCCCA
RNAcentral lists this non-coding RNA (47 nucleotides) under Caballeronia glathei. RNAcentral describes it as "Burkholderia glathei Guanidine-II sequence". It matches the Rfam family "Guanidine-II riboswitch aptamer (mini-ykkC)". From Rfam's summary of the family: Simpler in structure and has fewer highly conserved nucleotide positions than the ykkC-yxkD leader. Despite this each of its two stem-loop structures directly bind free guanidine. Therefore, mini-ykkC RNA motif represents a distinct class of guanidine-sensing RNAs. Lineage: Bacteria; Pseudomonadati; Pseudomonadota; Betaproteobacteria; Burkholderiales; Burkholderiaceae. The record is from Rfam by way of RNAcentral.